CCUACGGGAGGCAGCAGUGAGGAAUAUUGGUCAAUGGGCGCGAGCCGGAACCAGCCAAGUCGCGUGAGGGAAGACGGUCCUACGGAGUGUAAACCUCUUUUGCCGGGGAGCAAGCGUGGGUACGUGAACGCGCGUCGAGAGUACCCGGAGAAAAAGCAGCGGCGAACUCCGUGCCAGCAGCCGCGGUAAUACGGAGGAUGCGAGCGUGAUCCGGAUUUAUUGGGUGUAAAGGGUGCGUCGGCGGGAUGCCAAGUCAGCGGUAAAAAUGCGGGGCUCAACGCCGUCGCGCCGUUGAAACUGGCGUUCUUGCGUGUGCGCGAAGUAUGCGGAAUGCGUGUUGUAGCGG
Molecule: ribosomal RNA, 346 nt
Filed under: uncultured bacterium
Lineage: Bacteria
Description: partial 16S ribosomal RNA
Rfam family: Bacterial small subunit ribosomal RNA
Source: RNAcentral